CCCAGGCCACCUCCCGCCGUUCUCAGCCGAAACAACAGCCCCUUUCAAUCUCUGAUUGUAACAGAGCAUAUGGAGGCCGACGGCAGACUAGCAGAGGUAACCCCCUCCUCUUCUCUCUAUUUCUUAUUAUUCUUCCUAUUUUUUAAAAGACGAAUCGAAAAUAGAAAGAAAGAAAAAAUAUCACCUCUUUUGAAAUUUUUUGAUUCCUUUUUUUGUAUUGAUUAUGUGUAUGUAACCCCAAAUUCAGUGUUACAAUUGGCUUUUUAUAGACAAAAAUAAAAGAAAUAACAAUAAAAAAGAAAAAUACAGAAAAAUCCCGAAAAUUUUCUCUUUUCUCCUGUGUUUUCUAUUAUUCUUUAUUGCUCUGUGUUUGUUUUUGUUUGCUGCAGGUACAGCCGUACGGAGGCCAGUUGGAGGCUCGUGGUGGCGCUACGUGCGUGAGGAGGUAGGCACUCGUGAGAGAAGCGAACGUCACGUGUGGAGGCUUGGCUGUGGCGCUGGAGGCUUGCGACGACUUAGUUUCUAGAACCGUUUAGGGUUUCUAAAAAUGUAAAAAAAAUGGGCUAUUUGGGCUUGUAACGCGAUUGGGCUAAGGAUUGUAUCUGAGUCUGGUGAAUUUUUUUAAUUUGGACUGUUUAUUGGAUUGUUU
This 649-nucleotide long non-coding RNA is filed under the name Gossypium barbadense (sea-island cotton). RNAcentral describes it as "long non-coding RNA (GBAR_LNC020918)". The record is from RNAcentral. Lineage: Eukaryota; Viridiplantae; Streptophyta; Magnoliopsida; Malvales; Malvaceae.